This 322-nucleotide long non-coding RNA is filed under the name Musa acuminata (dwarf banana). RNAcentral's name for it is "long non-coding RNA (MACU_LNC005505)". The record is from RNAcentral. Lineage: Eukaryota; Viridiplantae; Streptophyta; Magnoliopsida; Zingiberales; Musaceae.
AGCAGCUGAUAGUUGCAGCAUUUGUAACGUGGUGUCUGGACCCCUUACUCUUCUUUAAGGACAUUUCAGUUUAACUUCAAGUAAAUGAUGAUGUGAUGUAACAGCCUGCUUAGUUAAACCUCGUAAAAUAGGGUUCGUUGCUUCAUUUGUUUCAGCCACAGUUUUUUUAUAUGACAUCAAUGCUAAUUUGAUCACUUUCAUUUGUUUCAGCCACACUUUUUUUUAUAUGACAUCAAUGCUAAUUUGAUCACUUUUUCUUAAGCAGAGGAAGGAAAAUCACUUCUCAAGGACAGCGGGAUCUCGAUCAAGUCGCUGGGCGGGU